GUGCUCACUUCUGCAGCAAAUAUACUAAAAUUGGAAUGAUACAAAAAUAAGCAUGGCCCCUGUGCAAGGAUGACACGCAAAUUCAUGACAUGUUCCAUAUUUUU
This 104-nucleotide small nuclear RNA is filed under the name Dasypus novemcinctus (nine-banded armadillo). Lineage: Eukaryota; Metazoa; Chordata; Mammalia; Cingulata; Dasypodidae. The record is from RNAcentral.